AGAGUUUGAUCCUGGCUCAGAUUGAACGCUGGCGGCAGGCUUAACACAUGCAAGUCGAGCGGUAACAGGGGGAGCUUGCUCCCUGCUGACGAGCGGCGGACGGGUGAGUAAUGCAUAGGAAUCUGCCCAGUAGUGGGGGAUAGCCCGGGGAAACCCGGAUUAAUACCGCAUACGCCCUACGGGGGAAAGCAGGGGAUCUUCGGACCUUGCGCUAUUGGAUGAGCCUAUGUCGGAUUAGCUAGUUGGUGGGGUAAAGGCCUACCAAGGCGACGAUCCGUAGCUGGUCUGAGAGGAUGAUCAGCCACAUCGGGACUGAGACACGGCCCGAACUCCUACGGGAGGCAGCAGUGGGGAAUAUUGGACAAUGGGCGCAAGCCUGAUCCAGCCAUGCCGCGUGUGUGAAGAAGGCCUUCGGGUUGUAAAGCACUUUCAGUAGGGAGGAAAACCUGAUGGUUAAUACCCAUUGGGCUGACGUACCUACAGAAAAAGCACCGCCC
RNAcentral lists this ribosomal RNA (497 nucleotides) under Marinobacter sp. enrichment clone T59. Its description in RNAcentral is "bacterial SSU rRNA". It matches the Rfam family "Bacterial small subunit ribosomal RNA", at positions 8 to 498 of the family's 1533-position model. Lineage: Bacteria; Pseudomonadati; Pseudomonadota; Gammaproteobacteria; Pseudomonadales; Marinobacteraceae. The record is from RNAcentral.